CAUAUGUUAACUUAUUGAAUGCUGACAGCAGCCCUCUAAGGUAGAUGCCAUUAGUAUUUCCAUUUACAUAUGAGGAAACAGAAGCAUAGAAAGAUUAAAUAAUUUGCCCAAUGUCACACAGUAAGUGGCAGAGUUCAUAUCCCUUGAAGACAUGACCACCACGCUUCACUCCCCACCUGUGACGCAGAGGAAGGUCUGAGAGGAAGAGUCCUCUCAGCCACCAGAAGCAGCAGCGAAAACCCAUCCAAAGGGUUCAAGAAAAACUUUCAUUCUGAGAAGAGGAACAAGGGUCGGGGGAGGCACGCCGGACCCCACAUAAUUUCUUCCUUCAAUUUUGAAGGAGAGUCGAGGGCUGGACCAUUAAGGCUUUAGUCUGAAUUCAGGCCUAAUGUGAGAAUUAAAGAACAGAAACCGCCAGACUAA
Molecule: long non-coding RNA, 423 nt
Filed under: Pongo abelii (Sumatran orangutan)
Lineage: Eukaryota; Metazoa; Chordata; Mammalia; Primates; Hominidae
Description: lincRNA
Source: RNAcentral